Molecule: ribosomal RNA, 327 nt
Filed under: uncultured eukaryote
Lineage: Eukaryota
Description: partial 18S ribosomal RNA
Rfam family: Eukaryotic small subunit ribosomal RNA
Source: RNAcentral
CCCCUAGAUGUUCUGGGCCGCACGCGCGCUACACUGACGAAUGCAACGAGCUUAUAACCUUGGCCGAAAGGUCUGGGUAAUCUCCAAAUUUCGUCGUGAUGGGGAUAGAUUAUUGCAAUUAUUAAUCUUCAACGAGGAAUGCCUAGUAAGCGCAAGUCAUCAGCUUGCGUUGAUUACGUCCCUGCCCUUUGUACACACCGCCCGUCGCUCCUACCGAUUGAAUGGUCCGGUGAAGCGCUCGGACCGCGGCCUCUUGACGGGUCUCCGUCGAUUGGCUGUGGGAAGUUCGUUAAACCUUAUCAUUUAGAGGAAGGAGAANUCGUAACA